Molecule: ribosomal RNA, 447 nt
Filed under: uncultured bacterium
Lineage: Bacteria
Description: bacterial SSU rRNA
Rfam family: Bacterial small subunit ribosomal RNA
Source: RNAcentral
GUCCAGACUCCUACGGGAGGCAGCAGUGGGGAAUAUUGCACAAUGGGGGAAACCCUGAUGCAGCGACGCCGCGUGAGUGAAGAAGUAUUUCGGUAUGUAAAGCUCUAUCAGCAGGGAAGAUAAUGACGGUACCUGACUAAGAAGCCCCGGCUAACUACGUGCCAGCAGCCGCGGUAAUACGUAGGGGGCAAGCGUUAUCCGGAUUUACUGGGUGUAAAGGGUGCGUAGGUGGCAGGGCAAGUCAGAUGUGAAAGCCCGGGGCUCAACCCCGGUACUGCAUUUGAAACUGUCCAGCUGGAGUGCAGGAGAGGUAAGCGGAAUUCCUAGUGUAGCGGUGAAAUGCGUAGAUAUUAGGAGGAACACCAGUGGCGAAGGCGGCUUACUGGACUGUAACUGACACUGAGGCACGAAAGCGUGGGGAGCAAACAGGAUUAGAUACCCCCGUAU